AAAAGAGAGGUGUGGGCCUUCAUUUCCCACACCUCUCAUUUUGGUCUUCCUUCUCUCUCCCUAGAAGCUUUCUCUGCUGGAGUUUUUGAUUAUCGGUAGUUUGUUGAUGAAGUUGUGAAGGUACUUAUUUAUUUUUCUUAUUUUUGCUUUUAUCAUCAAUCCGUCAGUCUUGGAGAUUCGGCCUUCGAUCUCAACCUUCAGUCUUUGGUAUCGUGCUCUUGUUGCUUUUGCUUUCAGUCAGUGCUUUAUUGCUUCUACUUUUGAUAUUCAGUAUUACAUUUGACCUUCGAUGUUGGUUUUGUUAUUUCAGCUUUCGAUCUUCGGUCUUCAAUGUUGGUGCUUUUUUAUUUUGGCUUUUGGUCUUCAGUGUUCCGCCUUGCGUGGCUUCCUCAUGGAUCCUCCAAACGUUCCUCACUUGGAAUGGUCAGAAGGAGCCACUACAACAUUAUAUAUAUUUAGAGCUAUGGAAACUUAUGGGUGAAGAGGGAAGCAGCGUGGCUAAUGAGUUUCAGAUGAGAGAGUGACGUGGCUAAGAGUGUUUGCAUUUAGCUUUAGCAUUUUCGAUACAUAGAUUUAAGUUUUUAUUAAUUUUACUUAAUAUAGCGUGGAUAUAAAAUGAACAAUUACUUUUUAUUUAAAUGUUUUUUUUAUACAUAUAGAAACAAAAUAAAAA
Molecule: long non-coding RNA, 673 nt
Filed under: Manihot esculenta (cassava)
Lineage: Eukaryota; Viridiplantae; Streptophyta; Magnoliopsida; Malpighiales; Euphorbiaceae
Description: long non-coding RNA (MESC_LNC003301)
Source: RNAcentral